Non-coding RNA from Zalophus californianus (California sea lion), 1343 nucleotides. The record is from the annotation of a RefSeq genome assembly. NCBI's taxonomy places the organism in Eukaryota, Metazoa, Chordata, Mammalia, Carnivora, Otariidae.
GUGUCUGGGGCCACAGCAGGGAGGAGGUGCGGUGCAGGGGCGAGCAUGGCUGCAGGGGAGCGGCCCCCACGGCCCCAACCAUGCUGAGUGGGGUCUGCAUGGGGCCAAGACAGAGGGAUUAAGAUGGGGACAGAGAACCAGCUACAGGAGCUGAGGAACACCAGGCCCUCAGGACCCCAUGGAGGGACUGGAGCAGCCUCCACCACGGCCCCAUCGGUGUUCCCACUGGCCCCCAGCUGCGGGACCACAUCCGGCUCCACAGUGGCCCUGGCCUGCCUGGUGUCCGGCUACUUCCCCGAGCCCGUGACUGUGUCCUGGAACUCCGGCUCCAUGACCAGUGGUGUGCACACCUUCCCGUCCGUCCUGCAGUCCUCAGGGCUCUACUCUCGCAGCAGCAUGGUGACAGUGCCCUCCAGCAGGUGGCCCAGUGACACCUUCACCUGCACCGUGGCCCACCCGGCUAGUAGCACCAACAUUGUCAAGCCAGUGACCCAAGACUGUGACUGUGUGGAACCACCGCAACCCCCAUGCCGAGUCGCUGAAAUGCUGGGAGGACCUUCGGUCUUCAUCUUCCCCCCCAAACCUAGUGACAUCCUCAAAAUUGCCCGAACCCCCGAGGUCACAUGCGUAGUGGUGGACCUGGGCCGAGAAGACCCUGAAAUCCAGAUCAGCUGGUUCGUGGAUGACCAGGAGGUGCACACGGCCAAGACAAAUCCACGUGAGGAGCAGUUCAACAGCACCUACCGUGUGGUCAGUGUCCUCCCCAUCGUGCACCAGGACUGGCUCAAGGGGAAGGAGUUCAAGUGCAAGGUCAACAAUGAAGCCCUCCCAUCCCCCAUCCAGAGGACCAUCUCCAAGGCCAGAGGGCAGGCCCAUCAGCCCAAUGUGUACGUCCUGCCCCCGUCUCCAAAGGAGAUGGCAUCCAAGGACAAAGUCAGCGUGACCUGCCUGGUCAAAGACUUCUACCCACCUGAGGUUGAUGUCGAGUGGCAGAGCAAUGGCCAGCAGAUGCCAGAAAGCAAUAUCCGAACAACCCCACCCCAACUGGACGCAGAUGGGACCUACUUCCUCUACAGCAAGCUCUCGGUGGACAAGAACCGCUGGCAGCGGGGAGAGGUCGUCACGUGUGUGGUAUUGCAUGAAGCUCUACACAACCACCACACAGAGCUAUCCGUCUCCCAGUCUCCGGGUAAAUGAACAACACGCCCGGGACCCCAGCAAGCCCCCACCCAUGGGCUCUCAGGGUCCCACAAGGACGCCAGAGCCCCCACCCCUGUGUACAUACCUCCCGGGCAGGCACCCCUGCAUGAAAUAAAGCACCCAGCACUGCCCUGGGACCCUGC